AGUGAACGCUGGCGGUAUGCCUAACACAUGCAAGUCGAACGGCAGCACAGGAAGAUCUUGCUCUUACGGGUGGCGAGUGGCGGACGGGUGAGGAAUACAUCGGAAUCUACUUUUUUGGGGGGGAUAACGGAGGGAAACUUACGCUAAUACCUCAUACGACCUACGGGUGAAAGCAGGGGAUCUUCGGACCUUGCGCGUUUGAAUGAGCCGAUGUCGGAUUAGCUAGUUGGCGGGGUAAAGGCCCACCAAGGCGACGAUCCGUAGCUGGUCUGAGAGGAUGAUCAGCCACACUGGAACUGAGACACGGUCCAGACUCCUACGGGAGGCAGCAGUGGGGAAUCUUGGACAAUGGGCGCAAGCCUGACCCAGCCAUACCGCGUGGGUGAAGAAGGCCUUCGGGUUGUAAAGCCCUUUUGUUGGGAAAGAAAAGCAGCAGGUUAAUCCACCGCUGUUCUGACGGUACCCAAAGAAUAAGCCCCGGCUAACUUCGUG
Molecule: ribosomal RNA, 492 nt
Filed under: uncultured bacterium
Lineage: Bacteria
Description: partial 16S ribosomal RNA
Rfam family: Bacterial small subunit ribosomal RNA
Source: RNAcentral